This 443-nucleotide ribosomal RNA is filed under the name uncultured bacterium. Its description in RNAcentral is "partial 16S ribosomal RNA". It matches the Rfam family "Bacterial small subunit ribosomal RNA", at positions 338 to 795 of the family's 1533-position model. The record is from RNAcentral.
CCUACGGGUGGCAGCAGUGGGGAAUAUUGCACAAUGGGCGAAACUCUGAUGCAGCAAUGCCGCGUGAAUGAAGAAGGUCUUCGGCUCGUAAACUUCUUUCAACAGGGACGAAAGAAAUGACGGUACCUGAAUAAUAAGCUCCGGCUAACUACGUGCCAGCAGCCGCGGUAAUACGUAGGGGGCAAGCGUUAUUCGGAAUGACUGGGUGUAAAGGGUGAGUAGGCGGUAUAGUAAGCAAGAUGUGAAAGCCUAGGGCUUAACCCGGGGGUUGCAUUUAGAACUAUUAAGCUAGAGUGCAGGAGAGGAUAGCGGAAUUCCUAGUGUAGCGGUGGAAUGCGUAGAUAUUAGGAAGAACACCAGAGGCGAAGGCGGCUAACUGGACUGAAACUGACGCUGAGGCACGAAAGCGUGGGGAGCAAACAGGAUUAGAUACCCGAGUAGUC